Molecule: ribosomal RNA, 274 nt
Filed under: uncultured bacterium
Lineage: Bacteria
Description: partial 16S ribosomal RNA
Rfam family: Bacterial small subunit ribosomal RNA
Source: RNAcentral
AUACGGAGGGGACAAGCGUUAUUCGGAAUCACUGGGCGUAAAGGACGCGUAGGCGGGUUAUUAAGUCGGGUGUGAAAUCCUACAGCUCAACUGUAGAACUGCAUUCGAAACUGAUAACCUAGAGUAUGGAAGGGGCAGGUGGAAUUAGUGGUGUAGGGGUAAAAUCCGUAGAUAUCACUAGGAAUACCGAAAGCGAAGGCGACCUGCUGGGACAUUACUGACGCUGAGGCGUGAAAGCGUGGGGAGCAAACAGGAUUAGAAACCCCUGUAGUCC